UUGAUCCUGGCUCAGGAUGAACGCUGGCGGCGUGCCUAAUACAUGCAAGUCGAGCGAACGGAUGAGAAGCUUGCUUCUCUGAUGUUAGCGGCGGACGGGUGAGUAACACGUGGAUAACCUACCUAUAAGACUGGGAUAACUUCGGGAAACCGGAGCUAAUACCGGAUAAUAUUUUGAACCGCAUGGU
Molecule: ribosomal RNA, 187 nt
Filed under: Escherichia coli
Lineage: Bacteria; Pseudomonadati; Pseudomonadota; Gammaproteobacteria; Enterobacterales; Enterobacteriaceae
Description: partial 16S ribosomal RNA
Rfam family: Bacterial small subunit ribosomal RNA
Source: RNAcentral